AAGUCGUAACAAGGUAACCGUAGGUGAACCUGCGGUUGGAUCAUUAUAGAUUCUACCCUUGAGUGGCACUGAGACCCAGUGCCCCUCUGGUUGGUUGCACUAGUCGAGAUGUUUAUUUCGUCAUAGGCGGCUGAUCACACCACCUUGUGAACCACUGAAAUGUAUUUUGGCGAGUCUUUUAGUUGAAGUGUUGCCUUUAAAGAGACACUUCUGUGACCUUUGUCUGUGUCCUCAGAGAGUAGACCGUUUGUGUUGACUCUCUGUGGGCCGCCCAGUCAGGAGGGUGUCAUUGGUCAAUUGCAGAGAGAAGGAAUGUUCUCUGCAAACUGAGAGGUCGUCACCUGACGCUUAAACAACCUGUCUUGCUCUUGUUUGGCUUAGUUAAAUGUUGGAAUAAGAAACAACUUUAGACAACGGAUCUCUUGGCUCUC
RNAcentral lists this unclassified non-coding RNA (431 nucleotides) under fungal sp. Its description in RNAcentral is "partial internal transcribed spacer region". The stretch from base 1 to 46 matches the Rfam family "Eukaryotic small subunit ribosomal RNA", at positions 1786 to 1831 of the family's 1831-position model. The record is from RNAcentral. Lineage: Eukaryota; Fungi.